CUCCUCCUCCUCCUCCUCCUCCUCCUCCACCCUCCUCCUCUUUCGGCCUCUGUCCCCGUCUCCCUCUCUCUCCCUCUCUUUCUCACUCUGCAGCAUAUAUCCAGCACAGGCAGAGAAACGUCUAGGACGACGAGGAUGAUGUCGGAGUCGACGACGGAUCGUUGCACGCGUGUUGGUGCUUACUUUGAACGGUGUGGAGGCGUCCACGCGUGUUUGCGUGCGUCUGUGUUCUUUACUCUCUGCCCGCCUGGACUCUCUCUUCCUUCUUCUGCUACACGCACACGCAGCCAGCCGAACCGAACCUCCCUGCACACGUGUUCACGACGCAGCAGUCUCUCUGCCGGUCGAGGGGCGGAUUCGCUGGGGUGGGAGGAGAAUUUACGGAGGCCUUUUCGAGGUCCUUGCCGAGGGAACCUUUCCUCGGAAGGAUCUGGAACAUUGGGUCCCCUCUGGUAGACCUGUAUUUUCGAACGAGCUUUACGGAAUCGUUGGAUAGAGAGAAUGUUUCCGAGGGGAUGACGGAAGUCGAUCGCCAAAUGCUCCGUAUAUCCUUGGUAGAAACAAGGGUACGGUUAUGCCGUUGUUUUUCGUUCGGGCCGAGAACGAAGUUUUUGGCCGUUUCUCGUUCAAUUCUCCUCCUCUCUUCCUCCUCCUCUUCCCCUCUUUUUUAGUCGGAGAAAAGAUCGCGCGAUUUAGAAAAAGAAAAAAAAGAAACGCGAUGUCGAUCGUAGAUUAUUGGAUACUGGAAAUGGGAGGUGGAAAAAAUUAGAAGGUCAAAGGUGGAAGAUCGAAGCAAGCUUGAAACAUAUAUCGAUAUAAUUGAAUUUUGCAGAGCUUUCUAUUUAUAGAACAAUUCAAUAUACGAGUAUUCUAUUGAUCUUUAAAAAUUAAUUCAGUUUGAAUUCAUAUUUAUGAACAUCGUAGUAUAGAAUUAUUUUCUUUCUUCGAAUAAAGAGUUCAUUACAUUUUUUAUAAUAAUAUUACAGAAAUUAUAGCAAGAAAUAGUAAUUUAAAACAAUUGUACAAAAAAAUUUUCUAUUAAUUUGAAAUGCUAAUUUUAUUAAUUUAUCGUUAAAAAAAGUUUAAUCUUAAGAUUAGGAAACAAAGGAAUCGGAUAAUUGGAAGAAGUAGCAUAUCAUUCGCCGAUUUCUUAAUUUAUAUCAUACCAAUUCCACGUAUAUCGAGAAAUGAAGAAUUGCAGAUAUCUCUAUUAUCGAUAAGAAUGAGAACAGAGAUAUUUCUACAUCGAUAAUAUUGCUUCUUUACAAAAUUAGGUUCUUCGAUGUCAGAUGUCACUAGCUUCAAUAGCGGAUGAUUCGUACAACUUUACCAUACAAGUUCGGAUCAAUUUUGAGAAUAAGAAAAAUUGUUGACGAGUGUAGUUUUCCGAAAUAAAUUCCGAAUUAUUUUUAAUUAUGAAUCAGAAUUGCUACUACAGAUGAUCAAUAUAUUUAGAAAUAUAUAUUUAUUUUUCCAAUUUCGUUGGAGUAAUAAAAUAAAUAUUUUAUCUUUA
Molecule: long non-coding RNA, 1513 nt
Organism: Apis mellifera (honey bee)
Lineage: Eukaryota; Metazoa; Arthropoda; Insecta; Hymenoptera; Apidae
Exons: 2
Source: RefSeq, a predicted model, not a curated record